RNAcentral lists this ribosomal RNA (462 nucleotides) under uncultured bacterium. RNAcentral describes it as "partial 16S ribosomal RNA". It matches the Rfam family "Bacterial small subunit ribosomal RNA", at positions 28 to 507 of the family's 1533-position model. The record is from RNAcentral.
GACGAACGCUGGCGGCGUGCUUAACACAUGCAAGUCGAGCGGAAAGGCCCUUCGGGGUACUCGAGCGGCGAACGGGUGAGUAACACGUGAGUAACCUGCCCCAGACUUUGGGAUAACCCUCGGAAACGGGGGCUAAUACCGGAUACGACACAGCUUCGCAUGGGGUCUGUGUGGAAAGGUUUUCGGUGUGGGAUGGGCUCGCGGCCUAUCAGCUUGUUGGUGGGGUGUCGGGCUACCAAGGCGACGACGGGUAGCCGGCCUGAGAGGGGGACCGGCCACACUGGGACUGAGACACGGCCCAGACUGCUACGGGAGGCAGCAGAGGGGAAUAUUGCACAAUGGGCGGAAGCCUGAUGAAGCGACGCCGCGUGAGGGAUGACGGUCUUCGGGUUGUAAACCUCAUUCAGCAGGGACGAAGCGUAAGUGACGGUACCUGCAGAAGAAGCGCCGGCCAACUACGUG